This 253-nucleotide ribosomal RNA is filed under the name uncultured bacterium. RNAcentral's name for it is "partial 16S ribosomal RNA". It matches the Rfam family "Bacterial small subunit ribosomal RNA", at positions 524 to 776 of the family's 1533-position model. The record is from RNAcentral.
UACGUAGGGGGCGAGCGUUAUCCGGAAUUACUGGGCGUAAAGCGCACGCAGGCGGUUCGCCAAGUUUGGAGUGACAGUUGUCGGCUCAACCGACAAAGGACUUCAAAAACUGGUGAACUUGAGGACGAGAGAGGAACAUGGAACUCCAGGUGUAGUAGUGAAAUGCGUAGAUAUCUGGAAGAACACCCGUGGCUAAGGCGGCUCUCUAGUACGGUACUGACGCUGAGACGCGAAAGCGUGGGGAGCGAACAGG